This 413-nucleotide ribosomal RNA is filed under the name uncultured bacterium. RNAcentral's name for it is "partial 16S ribosomal RNA". It matches the Rfam family "Bacterial small subunit ribosomal RNA", at positions 330 to 740 of the family's 1533-position model. The record is from RNAcentral.
UCCAGACUCCUACGGGAGGCAGCAGUGAGGAAUAUUGGUCAAUGGCCGGAAGGCUGAACCAGCCAAGCCGCGUGAGGGAGGAAGGCGCAGAGCGUCGCAGACCUCUUUUGCCGGGGGACAAAAGGCCGGACUCGUCCGGUCCUGAGGGUACCCGGAGAAAAAGCAUCGGCUAACUCCGUGCCAGCAGCCGCGGUAAUACGGAGGGUGCGAGCGUUAAUCGGAAUUACUGGGCGUAAAGCGCGCGUGGGCUGGAUGACAAGUAAAGGGUGAAAUGCCACGGCUCAACCGUGGAACUGCCGUUGAAACUGUCAAACUGGAGUAUGUGAGAGGGCGGCGGAAUUCCUGGUGUAGGAGUGAAAUCCGUAGAUAUCAGGAGGAACAUCAGUGGCGAAGGCGGCAGCCUGGCGCAAAAC